Long non-coding RNA from Manis javanica (Malayan pangolin), 646 nucleotides. RefSeq lists it as uncharacterized. Lineage: Eukaryota; Metazoa; Chordata; Mammalia; Pholidota; Manidae. The record is from RefSeq and is a predicted model, not a curated record.
GUCUGCAAACUCCCGCCUCUUCGCUUUCGCUCCGCCGGGGAGCUUCACGUGCGCGUUAGCUGCGGUGGAGGCGGGCCCAGUCGAGCACCCUUAUGCGGGGGCGUGUUCGUGGCUUAUGGGAGUCCGCGACAGUCCUAACUGCUGUCGCAAACCUAUGAGGGGAAAACACUUCCUUGUCACAUCAGAUGUUUCUGUAUGGAGCGGGUGCCACUAACUAACACUUGACACUCUAUUCCAGUGCUACUAGCAAGUUUCCUGAUGUGUAAGUUUGGCAUGUGUAGCCCACCUUCUUCUUCUCCCAUUUCUCAUGGGAGCCAGGCAACCCACAGAAAGUAUGCUUUCUAUUCUGCUCCUUCAUACCACAAGUUUCACAGGGGCCUGCCCACGCCAAGAGAAGCUCGGGGUAGGAAACUGAAGUAUGGGGAGUUUUGGUGACUUCAACAAGACUUAACUGGCUAAUGGUGCUUCUGGGCAGCAUUUCUGCACAGUAUUCGUGCCCAGCCACGGAGCCACAAUGCCUCUGCAGCAAUAACAGAAAGCCUGGUCGGAUAUACUGCUCCAGGGUUUCUGGGAUUCUCAGAAUGGGGCCAGAGAGAACAUUUGCCUUAUCCAUAGCACUUGAAUUUCUAUUUGUAAUGAUAUAAAG